UCCCAGACUCCUACGGGAGGCAGCAGUGGGGAAUAUUGCACAAUGGGCGAAAGCCUGAUGCAGCAACGCCGCGUGAAGGAAGAAGGGUUUCGGCUCGUAAACUUCUAUCAACAGGGACGAAAGAAAUGACGGUACCUGAAUAAGAAGCCCCGGCUAACUACGUGCCAGCAGCCGCGGUAAUACGUAGGGGGCAAGCGUUAUCCGGAUUUACUGGGUGUAAAGGGAGCGUAGACGGCGCUGCAAGUCCGGAGUGAAAGCCCAUGGCUUAACCAUGGUACUGCUCUGGAAACUGUGGAGCUUGAGUGCGGGAGGGGCAGGCGGAAUUCCUAGUGUAGCGGUGAAAUGCGUAGAUAUUAGGAGGAACACCGGCGGCGAAGGCGGCCUGCUGGACCGUAACUGACGUUGAGGCUCGAAAGCGUGGGGAGCAAACAGGAUUAGAUACCCGAGUAA
Molecule: ribosomal RNA, 450 nt
Filed under: uncultured bacterium
Lineage: Bacteria
Description: bacterial SSU rRNA
Rfam family: Bacterial small subunit ribosomal RNA
Source: RNAcentral